GAUGAACGCUGGCGGCGUGCCUAAUACAUGCAAGUCGAGCGAACAGACGAGGAGCUUGCUCCUCUGACGUUAGCGGCGGACGGGUGAGUAACACGUGGAUAACCUACCUAUAAGACUGGGAUAACUUCGGGAAACCGGAGCUAAUACCGGAUAACAUGUUGAACCGCAUGGUUCAACAGUGAAAGACGGUUUUGCUGUCACUUAUAGAUGGAUCAGCGUCGCAUUAGCUAGUUGGUAAGGUAACGGCUUACCAAGGCAACGAUGCGUAGCCGACCUGAGAGGGUGAUCGGCCACACUGGAACUGAGACACGGUCCAGACUCCUACGGGAGGCAGCAGUAGGGAAUCUUCCGCAAUGGGCGAAAGCCUGACGGAGCAACGCCGCGUGAGUGAAGAAGGUCUUCGGAUCGUAAAACUCUGUUAUUAGGGAAGAACAAAUGUGUAAGUAACUAUGCACGUCUUGACGGUACCUAAUCAGAAAGCCACGGCUAACUACGUG
RNAcentral lists this ribosomal RNA (497 nucleotides) under uncultured bacterium. RNAcentral describes it as "partial 16S ribosomal RNA". It matches the Rfam family "Bacterial small subunit ribosomal RNA", at positions 28 to 507 of the family's 1533-position model. The record is from RNAcentral.